Molecule: non-coding RNA, 72 nt
Organism: Candidatus Roizmanbacteria bacterium
Lineage: Bacteria; Candidatus Roizmaniibacteriota
Source: Rfam
GCCGCCCUAACUCAAUGGUAGAGUAACUCUUUUGUAAAGAGUAAGUUGGAGGUUCAAGCCCUCUGGGCGGCU